RNAcentral lists this ribosomal RNA (253 nucleotides) under uncultured bacterium. RNAcentral describes it as "partial 16S ribosomal RNA". It matches the Rfam family "Bacterial small subunit ribosomal RNA", at positions 524 to 776 of the family's 1533-position model. The record is from RNAcentral.
UAUGGGGGGGGCAAGCGUUGUUCGGAAUUACUGGGCGUAAAGGGCUCGUAGGCGGCCAACUAAGUCGGAUGUGAAAUCCCCAGGCUCAACCUGGGAACUGCAUCCGAUACUGGAUGGCUUGAAUCCGGGAGAGGGAUGCAGAAUUCCAGGUGUAGCGGUGAAAUGCGUAGAUAUCUGGAGGAAUACCGGUGGCGAAGGCGGCAUCCUGGACCGGCAUUGACGCUGAGGAGCGAAAGCUAGGGGAGCAAACGGG